RNAcentral lists this ribosomal RNA (253 nucleotides) under uncultured bacterium. Its description in RNAcentral is "partial 16S ribosomal RNA". It matches the Rfam family "Bacterial small subunit ribosomal RNA", at positions 524 to 776 of the family's 1533-position model. The record is from RNAcentral.
AACGUAGGAGGCUAGCGUUAUCCGGAUUUACUGGGCGUAAAGCGCGUGCAGGUGGUCUUGCAAGUUGGAUGUGAAAGCUCCUGGCUUAACUGGGAGAGGUCGUUCAAAACUGCAAGACUUGAGAUUGGUAGAGGGAGGUGGAAUUCCGGGUGUAGUGGUGAAAUGCGUAGAUAUCCGGAGGAACACCAGUGGCGAAAGCGGCCUCCUGGACCAAUUCUGACACUCAGACGCGAAAGCUAAGGUAGCAAACGGG